This 1490-nucleotide unclassified non-coding RNA is filed under the name Bombus terrestris (buff-tailed bumblebee). RNAcentral's name for it is "misc RNA ENSBTSG00005022300.1". The record is from RNAcentral. Lineage: Eukaryota; Metazoa; Arthropoda; Insecta; Hymenoptera; Apidae.
CGGGAAAUUCUGCUGCGCGUUCCAAUUUCUUUGUAGCAUUUUCUUCGUAAACGUUACACGUAACCUGCAGUGGAGAUUGUUUCCCUUACGAGCCAGGAGAUUAAAUCCGCUUGAUAGAAAAAUGACAAAAAACGUUCGUCCUUUGGAAGAAAGGUCGCGGGAACGUUAAACUUUACCGUAUUAAAUUUUGAUCGCAAUUAGAAAAAAAAAUUAGAAACGUUUAGGGAAGAUCGGAGAAAAAGCAACAUGGCUAACUUUCGUUUCAAUUUUCCGAUUAGCAAGUAACGACUGUGAAAAAUAUGCGGCGAAGCGGUCAAGAGGUCGGGGUAUAUUGCGAUAUUUCAUAUAUCGGAACACUGUCGCAUCGAAGCGUCUACUCUGACGUUCUAGGCAUAUACGUAGGUGUACGUAUACUGUACACAUGCGUAUUAACGAAGCACCGAUAUAAUUACAUUGUUUAUUAUAAUAGGAAUCGCGUAUUCUACGAUUAAUCUAUACGUACGUAAUCUGUAGUAAUAAGAAUAUACGUUUUCCAGUAUCCGGAGGAUUUUCCAAGGAAGCCUGUAUUAUUUAAAUCGAACGACAAUAUAACGAACCAGCUUUAACGUCCUCUCCUUCUCUUUCCUUCUCUUCCUUUCUCCUUUCCGGAAUAGAAAUAAAUAAGAGUAUGCGCUAGCACAAAUUUUCCCUAAAUACGUCUUUACUCCAAGACACGCGUAAAGCGACAAAUAAAAGUGAGCGGAGCAAUUAACGAAUUCUUCGUUAAACGGGGGACGCGUUUAACGCGUUUAAACGAGAAAUUACGCGAAGCGAGAGGUACGCGCAUACACCCGUUUCAUUUUUUUUCUUCCUUCGUAUUUUGCUCGCGAACUAAGAACGAAGGAGCAUGCUUGGCAGUUGUACGUACUACUUGCCAUUUUAUAGGACCCCGACUUUCUUCUCAUUUUUCUGUGACGAGAAAGGAAAAAGAGAAAAAGAGAAAAGAUAGAGAAUCUUGGCGUUAAAUUAAAAAAUGCAAAUGAUUCUUCCGAUUGCCUCUAAAACCCAAAUGGAAAGUUAAACGGUGUGCAGGUAUUUCUUUGUUCGCAUCUAUCGUUACACAGGAUGUCUAUAAAUCUCUGCCAUUCGAAAUAGCUGUCUACCAGACUCGACAGACCAUGCAAAAUACGUAUAAAUCCAUCGUACGAGUAUAAUUCCAGUUAUUUCAUCAUUUUUCUAUGCGUGUCAACAAUGAGAGCAUUUAGAAAAAGCAUACGAUGACGUUUUGCGUUAGCAAGUUCGAAGGACAAUUAUCGUUCGCUGAUUGGCAACGACGAUUUCGCACGACGCUGUGCUUGUAAUGCCGAAUAAAGAAGAGAUUCGUGACGGAGAGAAUCUCGGUUACAUUUGUCACAAAUGUUAUCCCUCCCUUCUUUCGUCAAUGCGUCUCGAGUUCUCUUCUUCCUGUGAGUUACGUCGAAACCACGAUAAUGACCACUAAUUGACACCGA